RNAcentral lists this ribosomal RNA (245 nucleotides) under uncultured Rhodospirillaceae bacterium. Its description in RNAcentral is "partial 16S ribosomal RNA". It matches the Rfam family "Bacterial small subunit ribosomal RNA", at positions 524 to 768 of the family's 1533-position model. The record is from RNAcentral. Lineage: Bacteria; Pseudomonadati; Pseudomonadota; Alphaproteobacteria; Rhodospirillales; Rhodospirillaceae.
UACGUAGGGAGCAAGCGUUGUUCGGAAUUAUUGGGCGUAAAGAGCGCGUAGGCGGUCUAGUAAGUCCGAUGUGAAAUCCCAGAGCUCAACUCUGGAACUGCAUUAGAAACUGCUAGGCUGGAGUGCGGGAGAGGUGAGUGGAAUUCCCAGUGUAGAGGUGAAAUUCGUAGAUAUUGGGAGGAACACCGGUGGCGAAGGCGGCUCACUGGACCGCAACUGACGCUGAGGCGCGAAAGCUCGGGGAG